AUACGUAGGGUGCGAGCGUUGUCCGGAAUUACUGGGCGUAAAGAGCUCGUAGGUGGUUUGUCGCGUCGUCUGUGAAAUUCCGGGGCUUAACUCCGGGCGUGCAGGCGAUACGGGCAUAACUUGAGUACUGUAGGGGAGACUGGAAUUCCUGGUGUAGCGGUGAAAUGCGCAGAUAUCAGGAGGAACACCGGUGGCGAAGGCGGGUCUCUGGGCAGUAACUGACGCUGAGGAGCGAAAGCAUGGGUAGCGAACAGGAUUAGAUGCCCUGGUAGUCCAUGCUGUAAACGGUGGGCGCUAGGUGUAGGGGUCUUCCACGACUUCUGUGCCGUAGCUAACGCAUUAAGCGCCCCGCCUGGGGAGUACGGCCGCAAGGCUAAAACUCAAAGGAAUUGACGGGG
This 398-nucleotide ribosomal RNA is filed under the name uncultured bacterium. Its description in RNAcentral is "partial 16S ribosomal RNA". It matches the Rfam family "Bacterial small subunit ribosomal RNA", at positions 523 to 918 of the family's 1533-position model. The record is from RNAcentral.